Long non-coding RNA from Apis cerana (Asiatic honeybee), 4780 nucleotides. RefSeq lists it as uncharacterized. The record is from RefSeq and is a predicted model, not a curated record. Lineage: Eukaryota; Metazoa; Arthropoda; Insecta; Hymenoptera; Apidae.
GGGUCUCGACGUAGUCACCUCCUAGUUGGUGAGACCUGGUAAUUGGCAUCGGUUUCCUUUUUAUAUUAUUUGAUUAUAAAUAUAUUAGAAAGAUUAUAUUAUUAAAAUUAUAUUUGAAAUAUUAUAUUAGUUGUUUUAUAUUAUAAAGAUUUUAUAUUAGUUUUUGGAAACUGAUGGCAAGCUAAGAACUACAUUAAUUUCUUUUUGUAUGUUUCAGAUUUUUUUUAAUUUAAUUAUAGUAUUUUGAUUAUUUUACAAAUAAUUUCGAAUAUUUAUAAUUCGCAAUAUAUCUUAAAAAAAUUAAUAAUCUAAAUUUUGACAACGAACAAUUAUAACUUUUACAAUAAUGUAACUUUUCUAAAUUAAUAGUUUAAAUUUAUAAAAUUAAUAAAUAUUUUAAAAUAUUAGAUAUAAUUAUAACAAAUAAUAUUUUAUAUAGCAAUAUUUUCUUAAACAAAUGCUUCAUAAAAAAAAAGAAGGAAAAAUAUCAAAGAAAUAUUUUACUUCUUUUUUUAAUUCGCCCCUCUAAUGAUACAGUGUUACUUUUGUGAUCGCGCGCAAUGCGGUCAGUAGAAUCAGUGCUUUGUUUCGUAAAAGUUUUUUUAAAUCCUUUAAUGGAUAACGCGAAAUUAGAAUCAGUGUUUGCUUCGUAAUAGUUUUCUUAAAUCCUUUAACGGAUAACGCGAAAUUAGAGUCAGUGCUUCUUUCAAGAAAAUAAGGCGGUCAUCCAUCACGCGAAGAGAUGUGCCACAUCCUUCUACACGAUGAUGACUUCCCAAUGUGCCAUAGAAAUUCUUCGCAUCUAAUGGUGAGUCGCAUGCUUUUUAAUUCCUCUGGUCCACUCAAUCAUGUCGUAGGACGAAAGGUCCGAAUCGACACGAGUGACUAGUUGUAUACGUAGAUUUUUGCACGAGCAUAGUGACCACGGGUAUUUUAUUUUAUUACUCGUGAGUAGUAACAUUUUGUGUGUUUUAUUUAUCAGUUUAGGCUAGGUCUUCUUGCACAUCGCGUUUUUGAAUAUUAAAAACAAUAAUAUUAAAAACAAAAAUGUUUUUAUUUUUCAUUUCAUUCAUGUAAUAAUAAAUUUUUAAAAUUUUUAAUUUCAAAAUUUAGUAUAUUUCAAAAUUUUCAAUUUUAAAAUAUAAUUAUUAUUUAUUUUAUUUUCUCUUGUUUACGAAAAUAUAUUAAAUUAUAUGUGCAAAAAGACAAUUCGCGACAGAUAGAUUUUGGAAUCAAAGCAACACGUUUUGAAUAUUGCUUUCAUCUUAAAUAUGUUUUGAUGAAGAAAUCGUCUGAGGUUAUUUUUAUUAAUAAAUUUCUUUUUCAAAUUUUGCCUAGUAAUAUUAAAGUUAAAAAUCAAAAAUUACCUAGUAUAAAUAUUAAAAUUAAUAUUUCAUUAAAUUAGAAAAAUAAAGUUUGAAAUAAUUUAAAUAAAUUAAAGAAUAUUAGCCCGUUAGAUGCAAAAUAUACUAAUGUAUCUUUUUUAGCUCAGGAUUUUCAGGUUUAACCCUUUCCGUAUCCAUUGCCAGGAUCUCGCUCACGUGCUCAGAUGCUACUUGGGUGAGAGAAAGGCGAUGGGUAUGACGACUAGUUGAUAAGUUUAUACAAAUUUUUCAGCGACUGACGAUGAGUUGGUGAUCGUGCACGACGUAUUUUCCACAUUAUGUGUGUGUGGUUAGGCUGUGGAAUUGCGUCGGUUACGAUUAUUAUUUCAUUCACUAUUACUAAUUUUCAUAAUAAUUCAAACUAUCGCAUUUACUAUUACAUCUUUUACGAAAUUAUAUCAUAUAUAUCUAUGAAAUUAAUCGCAAAUUAUAAUUAUAUUGUUUAUCAAAUUUUUUAUUACCUAAUCCAGUAAUAUCAUCUUUUUUUUAACUUACACGUGUUCUUUCAAUCAUAAAUAGAAUUACAAGUACAAUUAAAAUAUUUUUAUCGCGAUUUACGCAAUGGUCGCUAGCCAUCGUCAGUCGAUUUCAGGAAAAGGUACGUAAAGUUAGAGUGUGAAAGUAGUGUGCCAAGCUCGGGUGUCGGAGGUGUCCCGGGACGCUUUCCCUAGUGUAGGCUUUUGCGCCCGAGCAUUAUGCGUGAGAAUCGUGGAAUGAAUGUGUUGGUGUGCCUGUCUUGCCAUUUUUUUAAAUAUAGGGCUAGGUAGGAUAGGUAGCAUACUUUCUGGUGCGAAUGUUAAUUAUAAGUAGGUAGGGCCGGGCAGGUUGUCACAGUCUCUGGUCGGGUAGGCGCGUUUUCGCGUGACAACCUGUUUCAGGAAAUUAAAUUUGAGAGAUCGAGUGUAAGGCUGAGACGAGUGAUCAUCAAAUGAUCACUCGUUUCUGGCUUUGCUUUCGAUUUUUCGAAUUCCGCGGUCGCGGUCGCGAUUUGGUUUCGAAACGAACGUUGCGCUCGAGAUUCUGCACAUGUACGGACAAUGGUCGCUGCGAUCGUUAGUCGUCCAUGUGCAUUCAGUUUCCGCGAUUUAGACUUUUUUUUUUCUUUUUUUUUUUAUCUACGAUUAGUGAAUCUCGAGCCUAGAUUUAAGUUUCAGCGGGCAUUGCGCCCGAAGGAGGAAGACCGAAGAGGCCCGACAAACUGUCACGAAGAGGGCUGCAACGAAUGGUUUCUCAUUUUUUGGAUCUUGUUUAGGUCCAAAGAAUGGGAAGUCAUUGUUACUACUUUGUCACUAUGCUCGUUUUAGAGUCCAGUAGUAGUAGUAGUAGUAGUAGUAGUAGUUGUUGUGUUGUGUGUAGUAGUUGUAUUUAUUUGGCCGAUGUGCAUUCCGGCCCAACGUACAAUCAUCAUGGACAAAUGGGCAAUCGCGAUUUUUGAAUUAGUGUUGCGAUAAAUAAAUUACGGUUUGCAUUAGAGUUGCGAUAAAUAAAUUACGGUUUGCAUUAGAGUUGCGAAUAAAUAAUAAUCGCGUUUGCUUUAGUGUUGCGUUUUAAAAGAUAUAAUCGCGAUUUUUUUUAAUAAUCUUGAUAUAAAUUAAAUGUAAUUUUUUUUAUAAUUAAUAUUAAAAAUUUGUAUGUUUUUUUUGUUUCGAGUUUUAAUUAUAGUAUAGUAUAUUAAUUUCCAAUUUAUUUGUAUUCUUACUAAUAUUGUUUAUAUUAAAUUUAUUUUUAGAGUUAGUAGCGUUUUUUGCAUUUUAAAAAAUGAUCGCGUUUUUGAAAGUAGUGUUGCGUUAAAAAGUGAUCGCGUUUUUGAAAGUAGCGUUGCGUUAAAAAAUAAUCGUGUUUUUAAAAGUAGUGUUGCGUUAAAAAAAUUUCGCGUUUUUGAAAAUAGCGUUGCGUAUAUGAAAUGCCCAUAAUUCUUCCACUAAUAAAAUGUGGAAAUGGUCCUAUUUCUGAAUCACAAAAUGCAGUUACAAGAACUGCAAAAGUGUGGUCCCUUUUUGGGAUCACGAAAUUACCUUAUAGCCUCUUUUGGCUAUUUUUUUCAGCGUCCCUAAAUAUUGAAGCAUUUGUUUAUAAAAAUAUUGCUAAAAAAUUUAUUCGUAUGAAUUUUUUUAAUUUUUGUAAUAUUAUUUAAAAUCGUUAUGAUUAUAGUAAAAAUAUUAAUUUAUUUAAUAUUUUUACUAUGAUAUAUUAAUAUAAAUUCAGUGCAUUUGUUUGAAUUACAAUAAUUAUUCGUUGUCAAAAUUAAAAUUAAAUUUUUUUCUAUGUUAAAAUUUAAUUAAUUUUGUCUAUAUAACUAGUAUUUUUUAUUUUUUAAUUGUUUAUUUUUAAACUAGUUAUAUAAAUAUUCGAAAUUUCUGUGUGAAAUAUCAUAAUUCAAUUUUUACUUUUUUUCAGAUUUCAGAUUUUCAGAAUUCAUUUAUGUUUCAUUUAAUUGUUUUUUUUAAUAUAUAUUUCAGAUUUUUUUUAGAUUUAUUUCACUUUUCAAACUCAUGGGACAUGACGAGAUAUAUAUGUUUUAGCUUAAAGUUAGAUUUAAAUUUUAAUUUUAAAUAUAACAUAAGAUAGAUAUUUAAUUUAUGUAUUUAUUGUGAGCAUAUUCCAUAUGAAGGUACGCUUCUAACAUAGGAUAAAUUAAAAUAUUUUCAAUAUCUUUGUUUCUUUUUUUCUCGAAUGAAAUCAAAUUGUUCUUAUUCUUUUUUCGAUUUCUUCUUCUUUCGAUUUCUUCUUCUUUCGAUUUCUUCUUUUUUCGAUUUCUUCUUCUUUCGAUUUCUUCUUCUUUUUAGAGUUAGGCUUUUAUGAUUUUUUGGCAUUCGAUAAGAAUAAGGUCUUGUGGUCGAAUGUCGUUCUUGUAAAUCGGCUCUGAUGGUCGUGGAUUUAUUUUUUGUUCGUUCUUGUGUCGUCAAAACGUAAAUCGUUCUUCUGCUAGAUCAGUAAAUAUCUGUCUGGUGAUUCUCGUAAAUCCGUUAACAUAAGUUGUGAUAAAGUCUAUGAUUUAAAUUUUUUAAUUUCUUCUUAAUUUUUCUUUCAUUUUUCUUUCCUGGAUUUUUACAUUUCUUCUUGCGCUUGUUUUUCUGUUCUUUUUUUCCUUCUUUUUUGCAAUGAUUGAAGGCAUUUUUAUUUCGAUUGAAUAUCUAACAAUUCGUUUUUUUUUUUUAUUUCGUUUUAAAUAGGAGCGUAUCUUUGAUAUGGAUGAUGCCAGUAGGACAUAUAAAUCGUUAGAUUUAAGAUUUAGUAUUAAGAUCUAGAUUAAGUUAGAUUUAAGCCUCAUCGUUGGAUAACGUGAGAUUAAUUGCGAGAAGAAUUGCGAAAAAUGUAAAAAACUUUUGUAAAAAUCGAUGUAAAGAUCCUUGUAAUUUAUAUGUAUAUAAAUAUAUAAUUUAUAUUUUAAAUUA